This 686-nucleotide ribosomal RNA is filed under the name uncultured bacterium. Its description in RNAcentral is "bacterial SSU rRNA". It matches the Rfam family "Bacterial small subunit ribosomal RNA", at positions 1 to 668 of the family's 1533-position model. The record is from RNAcentral.
CCCUUAGAGUUUGAUCCUGGCUCAGAAUCAACGCUGGCGGCGUGCCUAACACAUGCAAGUCGAACGCGAAAGCCCCGCAAGGGGUAAGUAGAGUGGCAAACGGGUGAGUAACACGUGGGUGACCUGCCUUCGAGUGGGGGAUAACGUCCCGAAAGGGACGCUAAUACCGCAUGACAUCCUGCUUUUGGAAAAGCGGAGAUCAAAGCUGGGGAUCGUAAGACCUGGCGCUUGAAGAGGGGCCCGCGCCUGAUUAGCUAGUUGGUAGGGUAACGGCCUACCAAGGCAACGAUCAGUAUCCGGCCUGAGAGGGCGGACGGACACACUGGGACUGAGACACGGCCCAGACUCCUACGGGAGGCAGCAGUGGGGAAUUGUUCGCAAUGGGCGCAAGCCUGACGACGCAACGCCGCGUGGAGGACGAAGAUCUUCGGGUCGUAAACUCCUGUCGAGUGGGAAGAAUGCUUCGGGGGUGAAUAACCUCCGGAAUUGACGGUACCACUAAAGGAAGCCCCGGCUAACUCCGUGCCAGCAGCCGCGGUAAUACGGGGGGGGCAAGCGUUGUUCGGAAUUACUGGGCGUAAAGGGCUCGUAGGCGGCCAACUAAGUCGGAUGUGAAAUCCCCAGGCUUAACCUGGGAACUGCAUCCGAUACUGGAUGGCUUGAAUUCGGGAGAGGGAUGCAGAAUU